Molecule: ribosomal RNA, 442 nt
Filed under: uncultured bacterium
Lineage: Bacteria
Description: partial 16S ribosomal RNA
Rfam family: Bacterial small subunit ribosomal RNA
Source: RNAcentral
CCUACGGGAGGCUGCAGUGGGGAAUAUUGCACAAUGGGCGCAAGCCUGAUGCAGCAACGCCGCGUGAGCGAAGAAGGUCUUCGGAUCGUAAAGCUCCGUUCUUGAGGAAGAAGGAAGUGACGGUACUCAAGGAGGAAGCCCCGCCUAACUACGUGCCAGCAGUCGCGGUAAUACGUAGGGGGCAAGCGUUAUCCGGAAUUAUUGGGCGUAAGGAUUACGUAGGUGGUUUUGAAAGCGCGGGGUGAAAGGCAGUGGCUUAACCAUUGUAAGCCUUGCGAACUGCAAGACUUGAGUGCGGGGGAAGAAGGCGGAAUUCGUAGUGUAGCGGUGAAAUGCUUAGAUAUUAGGAAGAACCCCAAUGGCGAAGGCAGCUUUCUGGAGUGUAACUGACGCUGAGGUACGAAAGCGUGGGGAGCGAACAGGAUUAGAUACCCUUGUAGUC